UGACAUACCUUGCCUCGGCGGUGCCUGUUCCGACAGCCCGCCAGAGGACCCCAAACCCUGAUUACAUUUAAGAAGUCUUCUGAGUAAACCGAUUAAAUAAAUCAAAACUUUCAACAACGGAUCUCUUGGUUCUGGCAUCGAUGAAGAACGCAGCGAAAUGCGAUAAGUAAUGUGAAUUGCAGAAUUCAGUGAAUCAUCGAAUCUUUGAACGCACAUUGCGCCCGCUAGUAUUCUGGCGGGCAUGCCUGUCCGAGCGUCAUUUCAACCCUCAAGCCCCCGGGCUUGGUGUUGGGGAUCGGCGAGCCUCCGCGCCCGCCGUCCCCUAAAUCUAGUGGCGGUCUCGCUGUAGCUUCCUCUGCGUAGUAGCACACCUCGCACUGGGAAACAGCGCGGCCACGCCGUUAAACCCCCAACUUCUGAACGUUUGACCUCGGAUCAGGUAGGAAUACCCGCUGAACUUAAGCAUAUCAAU
RNAcentral lists this ribosomal RNA (472 nucleotides) under Ilyonectria sp. RNAcentral describes it as "eukaryotic LSU rRNA". The stretch from base 106 to 259 matches the Rfam family "5.8S ribosomal RNA". The record is from RNAcentral. Lineage: Eukaryota; Fungi; Ascomycota; Sordariomycetes; Hypocreales; Nectriaceae.